Manis pentadactyla (Chinese pangolin) is the source of this 632-nucleotide long non-coding RNA. RefSeq lists it as uncharacterized. The transcript has 2 exons. The record is from RefSeq and is a predicted model, not a curated record. Lineage: Eukaryota; Metazoa; Chordata; Mammalia; Pholidota; Manidae.
CCUGAGAGUUUAUGCUAAUAAGGUGUCUCAGACUGUGGACUGGCCGUGUGAGAAAGACCAAUAGUGUGAAUAGAGGUAUGGGCUGUGAGUCAUGUGAUAUUCAGCCUGACCUCUAUUGAGGAGAGGAGGGUGUGGCCAAUGAUUUAAUCAAUCCUGGCUAAUGAAACUGCAAUAAAACUCUGGACACCAAAGCUUGGGUGGACUUCCCUGGUUGGCAAUACUUUGUGUAUUGUCACACAUCAGUGCUGAGAGGGUGACUUGUGCUAACAUCAGGGGGCAAGAACAUUGGAAGUUUUGUGUUUGGGACCCUCCCAGACUUCACCCUGUGUGUUUCUCCCUCUGGCUGGUUCUGACUUGCAUCCUUUGGCUAUGUGAAUCUCUAAUUACCAACCAUGAUAUAAUGGAGGAGCUCUACAAGGACAUGAAUACCAGUAGACAUGAGACCUCCUUGAGACUGGCUACCACAGAGAGCUCAAGUGACCUGGUCAUCAAGUGGAGAGACCGCACUUCACUCAAGGUACCUCUACGUAUAAGGAGAGGCCUUGGAGUGACAUUCAGAUAGGCUCAAGAUUUGAUAAUUCAUGUUUUGCCCACUUACUGAAAAAAUUUAAAAAUGCUGAUUAUUAUUAGGA